CCCCGUAGCCGCGGAGUAUAUAGACUGCGCGCCGCGGCUGCCGGCCCCGCACUGCUGAAGAGCGGAGCCUCCGCCCGGGGGACCCCUAUCCCUGCCUGUCCCCCAGAACUGCGCGUCUCCACCCCACCCCACCCCCGCGGCCGAGCCACCGCUGGUGUGGCGGUCUCCGCUCGGCAGAAGAGCCUUGAACGGUCACCCGAUCCCCCUCCACAGCAUCUUUGCAUCUCGGAUUUCGGGGCGGCCCCCUCCCCCACCUCUCCCUGCCUCUUUGCACCCCUAUUUUUUAUGCGCUUCUCUCGGGUUUUGCAGCCGUCUAUAUUUGCAUCCCUUUUCGUUUUGCUUCUGGGAGGUUUGGGGGGUGAAGCUGCGUUCGCACCCCUUCCCCUUUUUAUCCUCCCCUGCUCGGACAACCCCCCUUUUCAUUGCAGUGGGGGGGGGCCUAGGUUCUGUGCAUCCUACGCCGCGCCGCCAGCACCCCGCAACGUGUGGCCCUGCGCCCCGGAAUUUGCAGCAGCUGCAUAUCUGAGGGGGGCGGUCUCCCUCGCCCCCGCUGCCUUUGCUUCCCGCGCGUUCUGGUGCGUGGGGGCUUCACGCGCCGCACCCCGGCUUCUCCAUAGCCCCCCGCCCCGCGCGGGACUCGCCCCCCGCCGUCAAGAUGGUCAUUCAGAAAGAGAAGAAGAGCUGCGGGCAGGUGGUUGAGGAGUGGAAGGAGUUCGUGUGGAACCCGAGGACGCACCAGUUCAUGGGCCGCACCGGGACCAGCUGGGCCUUUAUCCUCCUCUUCUACCUCGUCUUCUACGGCUUCCUCACCGCCAUGUUCACCCUCACCAUGUGGGUGAUGCUGCAGACGGUCUCUGACCAUACCCCCAAGUACCAGGACCGACUGGCCACACCGGGCUUGAUGAUUCGCCCUAAGACUGAGAACCUUGAUGUCAUUGUCAAUGUCAGUGACACUGAAAGCUGGGACCAGCAUGUUCAGAAGCUCAACAAAUUCCUGGAGCCUUACAAUGACUCCAUCCAAGCCCAAAAGAAUGAUGUCUGCCUCCCUGGGCGCUAUUACGAACAACCAGAUAACGGAGUUCUCAACUACCCGAAACGUGCCUGCCAGUUCAACCGGACCCAGCUGGGCGACUGCUCUGGCAUUGGGGACCCCACCCACUAUGGUUACAGCACAGGACAGCCCUGUGUCUUCAUCAAGAUGAACCGGGUCAUCAACUUCUACGCAGGAGCAAACCAGAGCAUGAAUGUUACCUGUGUGGGGAAGCGAGAUGAAGAUGCUGAGAAUCUCGGCAACUUCGUCAUGUUCCCUGCAAACGGCAACAUCGACCUCAUGUACUUCCCCUACUACGGCAAGAAGUUCCACGUGAACUACACUCAGCCCCUGGUGGCCGUGAAGUUCCUGAAUGUGACCCCCAACGUGGAGGUGAACGUGGAGUGCCGCGUCAACGCCGCCAACAUCGCCACUGACGACGAGCGCGACAAGUUUGCUGGGCGCGUGGCCUUCAAACUCCGCAUCAACAAAACCUGAGGCCCCUUCCUCCCGCCCCCACCUCUUUCCUACGGAUGCUUCUGGAAUAUCCCUGACCCUGCCUGAUCCCUCUCUCACCCACCCCAAAGCUUCCACACCCCACCCACAGAUGGACUCUUCCCUGUUUUUCUCUCGCUGGAUCUGAGUCUCUUCCCUUUGGGUCCCCAUGUUUUCCUGCACUCCCUUCACCCCAGUGGUCUCUCUCUGCAGUUAUUUAAUGCCUGUGUCAGAUCUACUGUAAAAAGAGGAUAAAGUACAAUAA
Molecule: RNA transcript, 1790 nt
Organism: Physeter macrocephalus (sperm whale)
Lineage: Eukaryota; Metazoa; Chordata; Mammalia; Artiodactyla; Physeteridae
Gene: ATP1B2
Gene name: ATPase Na+/K+ transporting subunit beta 2
Exons: 8
Source: RefSeq, a predicted model, not a curated record